Bombus pyrosoma is the source of this 1676-nucleotide long non-coding RNA. RefSeq lists it as uncharacterized. The record is from RefSeq and is a predicted model, not a curated record. NCBI's taxonomy places the organism in Eukaryota, Metazoa, Arthropoda, Insecta, Hymenoptera, Apidae. The transcript has 3 exons.
AUCGUUCGAUUAAUAUGAACGAGUCUCUCAUUCAUAUAAAGAAUCAAAAUCGCGAAUGUCCAGUUGUGACAAUCGUCUAACGUUUCUCUGUCCAUUCAGUAACACCUAAUCGUUUCUGCAAUACAGGUAUCAUACAUGUAUUUCAAAAGUGACACAAAACAGUGACACUGAAACAAGUUUUUCAGGGAAAAUAAAAGACUAUUUGGAAGUUUAAAAAAAAUAUUAUCCUUAUCAAACGCAUAAGUUAACAAGAAGUAUAGAAUAUAGAAAGCAAUGAUCUUCUAAUAUUCUUCUAAUACAGAAUUGAAUUAUUUUGAGUUGUGACAUUCUUGAAACAUUCUGUAUGAAAUAUGAACGUUUCGUAGCCAGAAGUAGAAAAUUGUAAGCUUCUGUUGUAAGAGUGUCAAUAUCCUGUGUAUUCAUUUUGGUCCUCUGAUUUUUUUUAUUUGGUAAGUUAUCAACUGACCUUUUAUUGACUCAUUCAGUGGCAAACUUUAAUCUCAGUGCUAUGUCGCAAGUUCAGAAAAAUUUAUCUUUGAUAAUUAUGUUAUGAUUACAGAAUUUAAAUAAUAAAAGAUGUAAGUAAUGAAACGCUUUUUUGUGGUAAAGGUUCUGAACUAUUAAUAAAAAAGAAAAUAAUUUCAUUAAUGACCCAAAAUGAUUAUUGAAUAUAAUUAUUGGAAAAUUCUUUUAGAUAUGGGGGAGACAAAAUUUCCGAAUUUAUCUUGACCUUCUGGGUUUUAUGUUACUUGAUGGUUAAAGUUGAGAUGGAAGCAAUUUAUUAUAUAAAUUUACGGUUUAAAAAAAUCUAAUUAAUCUUUUAAAUCAAAAUUAAAGAUACAAAUAAAAGAGAAUGGUAGAAAUGCAUAUUAAUUUUAAAAACAGGAGGAAUAAAAAGAUCUACAAUCCUGAUACAACAAAAAUGUGAUUUAUCAUCAUGUUAUUCUCUUCUGGUUUUCAUGCACGACCUACUAUUUUGACUAUUUAAUGCAUUAUGUAAACGAGAGAAUAUAAUGAUUUCUAAUUUAUUCUAAGGUUAUCAGACUAUCGUAUGGCAAGUGCAACGAGCUAACGUCAUUGAUGGACAUCCUGUCGUUGUCGCCGCGAAAAAGUUUCAUUGCAUAGACCACAGUGGAAUUUUACUACCGAUAGUUAAUUAAUAAUCAGAUUCAUUGAUCAGUUUCAUCACUUUCAAAGUUAGUUGAAAGUUUCAUGGAAAAUUCAACAUAAAGAAUAGGAUGUAAUAUAAUUUUUCUGGGGGCUGAGCUUGAAGUAUUUAUCAUAACAGGAUAUUUUUAAAAAGGCACAAAGACAACUUCGUUGGUGUCGUUCUCCACGUACCCAGACCUCUUCGUUUUAUCUCUUCCUGGAUCGGCGUCCACUAGAGAUAUACUCGAUCUUACCUCUCUACAAAUGAAAACAUAGUACACAACUUCGUUUCUUCUAAAGAUUUUUAUGCAUUUAUGAGUUCCAGGCAAUCCUGCUGACACUAUGAGAUCUCUGGGCUUGGAAAAGUCACACUCCAAGAUAAAAGCAGCGUCACCAGGAGUAAUUAGCUCAUCGUCGUGCUGAAGAACCAAGGUGUUCCGAUAUUUGUUAUCAACCUGAAACAAAUAUCUUAAACCAGUGAAUUAUUUCUAACUUAUUUUGUAGUAACUUUCCCAAAUUUACAGCAG